UGUGCCAUUGGUCAUGGUAGGGAAAUACUGCAGCCUGAAAGGAUCCCUUCUCCUCCUUUACUGCUUCUAAGAUACCUACUGCUUUAGAACUCUACCAGGAGCAGAGUUGGGGAGCUUCAGCUUCUGGAGGGGUUUUUAUUGAGACAGAAAGAUACAAAAGGAUUCAGAGAAACUAGCUGGCUCCAGAAAAGUAGUCGAUUAAUUCCGAUACAGUCCUAGAUUACUUGUACCCCCCAGGGUUGGUUGUAUUUUCUGAGUUAGGUAGCACAGUGCUUGCCUCCCUUUCCCGAGAAGAUACUGUCUAGCCAGGGCCCAGAUGGGCUGGGAGGUCUUGCAAAGGG
RNAcentral lists this long non-coding RNA (341 nucleotides) under Bos taurus (domestic cattle). RNAcentral describes it as "long non-coding RNA NONBTAT011643". The record is from RNAcentral. Lineage: Eukaryota; Metazoa; Chordata; Mammalia; Artiodactyla; Bovidae.